UUUCUGCUAGCGAAGAAGUGUUUCUUCAUUAAAAAUACAUAAAUUUUCUUUUGAAUUUUACCAAAAUAAAGAAAAUCAUAUUUUACAGAGUUAAAGAAAAUUUGUUGAUUCCCAGGUUGUGGUAAAAAUGGCUUCACAGCCAGUCGAAACUCAAGGGCUUCAACCGAAGUCUAAACGACCUUCAGAUUCUGCCUUUAAACAACAGCGAUUGCCUGCCUGGCAGCCAGUUUUAACAGCUGGCACCGUCCUUCCCACCUUCUUUAUCAUUGGCAUUCUCUUUAUACCUGUUGGAGUUGCCCUGCUCUAUUUCUCCGAUGAAGUUAGUGAACAUGUUAUCGAUUACACCAAUUGCAUACAAGUGGGCCAAAGCAAUUUAACCUGUUCGGAAUAUUUGGUUACAAACCCAACUGGUGCAACAUGUAAAUGCCAAAUAGAUUUUAAAUUGGAAAAGGAUUUUGUGGGUAAUGUCUAUAUGUAUUAUGGUCUUAGUAACUACUAUCAAAAUCAUAGACGUUAUGUGAAAUCUCGCGAUGAUGAUCAGCUUUUGGGUCGUCUCUCACUUACACCAUCUACAGACUGUAUACCAUUUGCUUAUGACGAUAUCGAUACUGGAGUACAAAAGCCUAUAGCGCCAUGUGGAGCCAUAGCAAAUUCAUUAUUUAAUGAUACAUUAACUUUAAACUAUGGUACUGUUUUAGUACCUUUACUAAAUACCGGUAUUGCAUGGCCUUCUGAUAAACAAAUCAAAUUUCGUAAUCCCGAAGGUAAUUUGGAAUCUAUAUUAAGAGAUCAUUAUGCUAAACCUAAAUUCUGGACUAAGCAAUUGUGGGAAUUGGACAAGGAAAAUCCCGAUAACAAUGGUUUUCAAAAUGAAGAUUUAAUUGUUUGGAUGCGUACAGCUGCUUUGCCCAGUUUUCGUAAAUUAUAUCGACGCAUAGAUCAUUCCAAGACUAAUUUUGAAAAUGGUCUUAAAAGUGGCCAAUAUUCUUUAUAUAUUGAUUAUCAAUAUCCCGUUUCGGCUUUUGAUGGUUCCAAGAAAAUGAUUUUGUCGACCACAUCUUUGUUGGGUGGAAAAAAUCCCUUCUUGGGAAUUGCUUAUAUUGUAGUCGGUUGUAUUUGUCUUAUAUUGGGCAUUGCAUUGCUUAUCAUACAUAUUAAAUGUAGUAAAAGAGUUACCGACGUCACUUCUGAUUUACUCCACAAGGAUUAUCAAUGAUUUCCUUCACUUACAUACAUUCACCAGAGAAAACCCCCACCAACGAAAUUCCUUAUGGUAAAAAAUACAACAGCACGUUGGCGUUACAGUACAGAUGUCAUUAGAAGAUACAACUAAACCAUAAAAUCAUCCUAUUGGAUUUGCAUUAAAUGUCAUUUAUUUCCACAGCACUUACAAUUCCCUUAUUGCCAGUUCAUAAAUUUCCCUGCUCAAUUUCCUAUAGUGUUACAGUGAAUAGUAGAUUCUUAAUUUCAAGUUUCAAUUGUAUUUUUUAAGGACGCGCUUGGAAACAGCACGUUGAGUAUACAGGUUUAACCUUUUGAACAUCAAAAAUUAAUGCGGAAAUGAUCAAUGUCAAUCCUCGUACACCAUAUUCAUAAAUGAUAACAGACAAAACAUGUUAAAGUAUAAGAAAGAUUUGUAUUUCUUUUAAACAUACUACAAAUUCAAGUUAUUAAUUUUAUUAUUUCAAUCAUUAUCUUGGUUUGUUGUCGCACUCCUCUCCUCCCUGUUUCAGUUUUCUUUUUGUACGAGUAUUUUUUACAAGCCUUUCUUCUACACUUCAGACAUUUGUGCAGUCAGACAGACGAGGAUUAUCAUGGAAACUUUGAAAAACAAGGUUAUUAAUGUUGUCUUGACGUAUAAAAGUGUAAUUUAUUAUUUUAUUGUAUUAUUUUAAACUUACUUUAUUUUUAAACUUUUUAAAAUUCAGAAUUCUUCAAUUAUUUUAUUAAAAAACCGUUUAGUUAUUAUUUUUGUUAUCGGGCUUAGUGUCAUUUCCAAAAAUAGUACCAAAAAUCAACAGCAUCAUCAAAAAUUUGGAAAUGGGCCUAUAGUUAAGUACAUACUAAAUAAUGUUAAAAAUUAUUUUUUGUUAUUUUCUUUUAAAGUUUAAAUGUAUUACACACCUACACAACUAAAUAUACAUAAAUAUAUAGUAAAUACAUACUAUAGUAUUAAAUAAAUAUAUUAAGCACCUUAUUUAUUACAAAUAAAAUUCACUUGUGAUCUUUUAAACUACAAAAAUGAAUACGAACUAAUAAAAUAUUGAACUUAAAGUACAA
RNA transcript from Calliphora vicina (urban bluebottle blowfly), 2280 nucleotides. It is a transcript of the gene named cell cycle control protein 50A, with no coding region annotated. The transcript is spliced from 9 exons. The record is from RefSeq and is a predicted model, not a curated record. Lineage: Eukaryota; Metazoa; Arthropoda; Insecta; Diptera; Calliphoridae.